This 28-nucleotide non-coding RNA is filed under the name Rattus norvegicus (Norway rat). Lineage: Eukaryota; Metazoa; Chordata; Mammalia; Rodentia; Muridae. The record is from RNAcentral.
UGACAUAUAGCUAUGUCUUUCUCCCUUG